GGAGGGAUCAUUGAAUUAUUAAAACCACAAUGUGAACCUCAACGUCCCGUGCCUUGGCUUGCCAGUGGGGCAUUCGGCCUAAAAGCCGUUUGCAGCUCACAGCUGAGUGGGCAAUGCUGCUUGCUCAGUGGCGCCUUGGCAUGACUAUACACCAGUGCCAACCACUGAUAAAACCAAAAUCUGAAGUUGUGAUUGCUGGUAACUGGCAAUCUUAACCAAAGACAACUCUCAACAACGGAUAUCUUGGCUCUCGCAACGAUGAAGAACGCAGCGAAAUGCGAUACGUAGUGUGAAUUGCAGAAUUCCGUGAACCAUCGAAUCUUUGAACGCAUAUUGCGCUCGAGCCUUCGGGCAAGAGCAUGUCUGCCUCAGCGUCGGUUUACACCCUCACCCCUCCCAACUAUUUGGGCUUGUUGGCAUCAACGCCAGCUUAGGGGUGGAUCUGGCUUCCCCAACACGCUUUUGUGUGUUGGGUUGGCUGAAGUGCAGAGGCUUAAGCAAGGACCCGUUAUGGGCUUCAACUGGAUAGGUAGCAACGGCUUGUGCCGACUACACGAAGUUGUCGCUUGUGGAUCUUGCUAGGGGCCAAGCAGGAACGUGUCUUAUGGCAUGUCUAAACUUUCGACCUGAGCUCAGGCAAGGCUACCCGCUGAACUUAAGCAUAUCAAUAAGCGGAGGAAAAGAAACUAACAAGGAUGCGCUUAGUAACGGCGAGCGAACCGCGCAAAGCCCAACUUGAAAAUCUCCCUAGGAGAAUUGUAGUCUAUAGAAGUACCCUCUGCGACGGGCUGAGCUAAAGUCUCCUGGAAAGGGGCGUCAGAGAGGGUGAGAACCCCGUAAGCUCACGCUUAGUUGCCUCACGAGGUGCUUUCAAAGAGUCGGGUUGCUUGGGAAUGCAGCCCAAAUUUGGUGGUAAAUCCCAUCUAAGGCUAAAUAUUGGCGAGAGACCGAUAGCGAACAAGUACCGUGAGGGAAAGAUGAAAAGAACUUUGAAAAGAGAGUUAAAAAGUGCUUGAAAUUGUUGAGGGGGAAGCGUUUGAAUGCUAGGGUGCGCCUAGGCUUAUGGGUCCUUAACGGGGCUCUGUAUGUGCUAGGUGCUGGCCAGCAUGGGUUAGGCUAGUGGGAUAAAAGCUGGGGUUGAUACCCGGUCUAUGCCACUGGCUUGACCAAGGCGUGAAGACUGCCCUUGUCCUUCGGGAACUGCAGUCUCAAGAUGCUGGCAAAAGGCUUUCAACCGACCCGUCUUGAAACACGGACCAAGGAGUCUAACAUGUAUGCGAGUUGGUGGGUGGAAAACCCAUGAAGCGUAAGGAAACUGACUGGUGGGAUGGCCUGUGCCUGCACCAUCGACCGACCAUGCGUUUCUGCAAAAGGUUUGAGUGCGAGCAUACACGUUGGGACCCGAAAGAUGGUGAACUAUGCCUGAGCAGGGUGAAGCCAGGUGAAAACCUGGUGGAGGCUCGUAGAUGUGCUGACGUGCAAAUCGCUUUUCGGACUUGGGUAUAGGGGCGAAAGACUAAUCGAACCAUCUAGUAGCUGGUUUCCUC
This 1547-nucleotide unclassified non-coding RNA is filed under the name uncultured Sphaeropleales. Its description in RNAcentral is "sequence contains 18S rRNA gene, ITS1, 5.8S rRNA gene, ITS2, 28S rRNA gene". The stretch from base 623 to 1547 matches the Rfam family "Eukaryotic large subunit ribosomal RNA", at positions 1 to 961 of the family's 3401-position model. Lineage: Eukaryota; Viridiplantae; Chlorophyta; Chlorophyceae; Sphaeropleales. The record is from RNAcentral.